Molecule: transfer RNA, 73 nt
Filed under: Strongylocentrotus purpuratus (purple sea urchin)
Lineage: Eukaryota; Metazoa; Echinodermata; Echinoidea; Camarodonta; Strongylocentrotidae
Description: tRNA-Lys
Rfam family: tRNA
About the family: Transfer RNA (tRNA) molecules are approximately 80 nucleotides in length. Their secondary structure includes four short double-helical elements and three loops (D, anti-codon, and T loops). Further hydrogen bonds mediate the characteristic L-shaped molecular structure. tRNAs have two regions of fundamental functional importance: the anti-codon, which is responsible for specific mRNA codon recognition, and the 3' end, to which the tRNAs corresponding amino acid is attached (by aminoacyl-tRNA synthetases). tRNAs cope with the degeneracy of the genetic code in two manners: having more than one tRNA (with a specific anti-codon) for a particular amino acid; and 'wobble' base-pairing, i.e. permitting non-standard base-pairing at the 3rd anti-codon position.
Source: Rfam by way of RNAcentral
GCCCGGUUUGCUCAGUCGGUAGAGCAUCUGACUUUUAAUCAGAGGGUCGCGGGUUCAAGUCCCUCAUCGGGCU